Metschnikowia bicuspidata var. bicuspidata NRRL YB-4993 is the source of this 93-nucleotide non-coding RNA. The record is from Rfam. NCBI's taxonomy places the organism in Eukaryota, Fungi, Ascomycota, Pichiomycetes, Serinales, Metschnikowiaceae.
GAAAGCCAUAUGAUGGGAAACUAUCACGUAUGGUUUGGGUGGCAGCAACAAGAUCGUAGAAUAAAUAAUACUGAUUGUAUAAGUUGACCACAC